GGGAGCAUAGCUCAGUUGGUUUAGAGCGUCUGCCCUACAAGCAGAGGGUCGGGGGUUCGACUCCCUCUGCUCCCA
Molecule: transfer RNA, 75 nt
Filed under: Tidjanibacter sp.
Lineage: Bacteria; Pseudomonadati; Bacteroidota; Bacteroidia; Bacteroidales; Rikenellaceae
Also listed under: 2 other names
Description: tRNA-Val
Rfam family: tRNA
About the family: Transfer RNA (tRNA) molecules are approximately 80 nucleotides in length. Their secondary structure includes four short double-helical elements and three loops (D, anti-codon, and T loops).
Source: RNAcentral